UUAUAAAGAGAACGAAAAUGCAGGAAGGAGGGGGUUAUGUACCUGGAUACCGUUGUGAUAGCGGGCUUAGUUACCGUUGGAUUAGUGAUUGCGUUUGGUGGUGGUUUUGCCUGGUUUAUCAAGAAAGAUAUAGAACGUCAUUCUGAGAAGUAAGCGCAAUCAAUUGAGAGUGGUUUUUGG
RNAcentral lists this small RNA (180 nucleotides) under Oceanospirillales bacterium LUC14_002_19_P2. RNAcentral's name for it is "PhrS". It matches the Rfam family "PhrS". The record is from Rfam by way of RNAcentral. Lineage: Bacteria; Pseudomonadati; Pseudomonadota; Gammaproteobacteria; Oceanospirillales.